GGCAACGAUCAGUAGGGGUUCUGAGAGGAAGGUCCCCCACAUUGGAACUGAGACACGGUCCAAACUCCUACGGGAGGCAGCAGUGAGGAAUAUUGGUCAAUGGGCGAGAGCCUGAACCAGCCAAGUAGCGUGCAGGAAGACGGCCCUAUGGGCUGUAAACUGCUUUUAUAAGGGAAUAAAGUGAGUCUCGUGAGACUUUUUGCAUGUACCUUAUGAAUAAGGACCGGCUAAUUCCGUGCCAGCAGCCGCGGUAAUACGGAAGGUCCGGGCGUUAUCCGGAUUUAUUGGGUUUAAAGGGAGCGUAGGCCGGAGAUUAAGCGUGUUGUGAAAUGUAGACGCUCAACGUCUGCACUGCAGCGCGAACUGGUUUCCUUGAGUACGCACAAAGUGGGCGGAAUUCGUGGUGUAGCGGUGAAAUGCUUAGAUAUCACGAAGAACUCCGAUUGCGAAGGCAGCUCACUGGAGCGCAACUGACGCUGAAGCUCGAAAGUGCGGGUAUCGAACAGGAUUAGAUACCCUGGUAGUCCGCACGGUAAACGAUGGAUGCCCGCUGUUGGUCUGAACAGGUCAGCGGCCAAGCGAAAGCAUUAAGCAUCCCACCUGGGGAGUACGCCGGCAACGGUGAAACUCAAAGGAAUUGACGGGGGCCCGCACAAGCGGAGGAACAUGUGGUUUAAUUCGAUGAUACGCGAGGAACCUUACCCGGGCUUGAAUUGCAGAGGAAGGAUUUGGAGACAAUGACGCCCUUCGGGGUCUCUGUGAAGGAGCUGCAUGGUUGUCGUCAGCUCGUGCCGUGAGGUGUCGGCUUAAGUGCCAUAACGAGCGCAACCCCUCUCCUUAGUUGCCAUCAGGUUAAGCUGGGCACUCUGGGGACACUGCCACCGUAAGGUGUGAGGAAGGUGGGGAUGACGUCAAAUCAGCACGGCCCUUACAUCCGGGGCUACACACGUGUUACAAUGGCAGGUACAGAGAGACGGUUGUACGUAAGUACGAUCAAAUCCUUAAAGCCUGUCUCAGUUCGGACUGGGGUCUGCGACCCGACCCCACGAAGCUGGAUUCGCUAGUAAUCGCGCAUCAGCCAUGGCGCGGUGAAUACGUUCCCGGGCCUUGUACACACCGCCCGUCAAGCCAUGAAAGCCGGGGGCGCCUAAAGUCCGUGACCGUAAGGAGCGGCCUAGGGCGAAACUGGUAAUUGGGGCUAAGUCGUAACAAGGUA
RNAcentral lists this ribosomal RNA (1216 nucleotides) under metagenome. Its description in RNAcentral is "bacterial SSU rRNA". It matches the Rfam family "Bacterial small subunit ribosomal RNA", at positions 272 to 1498 of the family's 1533-position model. The record is from RNAcentral.